RNAcentral lists this non-coding RNA (154 nucleotides) under Brevibacillus laterosporus. Its description in RNAcentral is "FMN sequence". It matches the Rfam family "FMN riboswitch aptamer (RFN element)". From Rfam's summary of the family: The RFN element is a highly conserved domain that is found frequently in the 5'-untranslated regions of prokaryotic mRNAs that encode for flavin mononucleotide (FMN) biosynthesis and transport proteins. This element is a metabolite-dependent riboswitch that directly binds FMN in the absence of proteins. Lineage: Bacteria; Bacillati; Bacillota; Bacilli; Caryophanales; Paenibacillaceae. RNAcentral also lists the same sequence under 1 other name. The record is from RNAcentral.
CAAUUCCUUCGGGGCAGGGUGAAAUUCCCGACCGGCGGUGAUGCGCAUAUCGAGCGUUAGCCCGCGAGCCACUUUUGCUGAAAUGAGGCAGAAGUGUGCAGGAUCUGGUGAGAAUCCAGAGCCGACAGUACAGUCUGGAUGGGAGAAGGAUGAC